RNAcentral lists this ribosomal RNA (253 nucleotides) under uncultured bacterium. RNAcentral describes it as "partial 16S ribosomal RNA". It matches the Rfam family "Bacterial small subunit ribosomal RNA", at positions 524 to 776 of the family's 1533-position model. The record is from RNAcentral.
UACAGAGGGGGCGAGCGUUGUUCGGAAUUACUGGGCGUAAAGGGCGCGUAGGCGGCCUUCUAAGUCGAACGUGAAAUCCCCGGGCUCAACCCGGGAACUGCGUCCGAUACUGGGAGGCUUGAAUCCGGGAGAGGGAUGUGGAAUUCCAGGUGUAGCGGUGAAAUGCGUAGAGAUCGGGAGGAACACCGGUGGCGAAGGCGGGUCUCUGGGCAUUCCCUGACGCUGAGGCGCGAAAGCGUGGGGAGCAAACGGG